RNAcentral lists this transfer RNA (75 nucleotides) under Candidatus Berkelbacteria bacterium. RNAcentral describes it as "tRNA-His". It matches the Rfam family "tRNA". From Rfam's summary of the family: Transfer RNA (tRNA) molecules are approximately 80 nucleotides in length. Their secondary structure includes four short double-helical elements and three loops (D, anti-codon, and T loops). The record is from RNAcentral. Lineage: Bacteria; Candidatus Berkelbacteria.
GUGGCUAUGGUGAAAUGGUUAUCACAAGGGGUUGUGGUCCCCUAGUCGAGGGUUCAAUUCCCUCUAGCCACCCCA